GGGGCCGGUGCGGGUGCUAUACAUGCAAGUCGAGCGGACAGAUGGGAGCUUGCUCCCUGAUGUUAGCGGCGGACGGGUGAGUAACACGUGGGUAACCUGCCUGUAAGACUGGGAUAACUCCGGGAAACCGGGGCUAAUACCGGAUGGUUGUUUGAACCGCAUGGUUCAAACAUAAAAGGUGGCUUCGGCUACCACUUACAGAUGGACCCGCGGCGCAUUAGCUAGUUGGUGAGGUAACGGCUCACCAAGGCAACGAUGCGUAGCCGACCUGAGAGGGUGAUCGGCCACACUGGGACUGAGACACGGCCCAGACUCCUACGGGAGGCAGCAGUAGGGAAUCUUCCGCAAUGGACGAAAGUCUGACGGAGCAACGCCGCGUGAGUGAUGAAGGUUUUCGGAUCGUAAAGCUCUGUUGUUAGGGAAGAACAAGUACCGUUCGAAUAGGGCGGUACCUUGACGGUACCUAACCAGAAAGCCACGGCUAACUACGUGCCAGCAGCCGCGGUAAUACGUAGGUGGCAAGCGUUGUCCGGAAUUAUUGGGCGUAAAGGGCUCGCAGGCGGUUUCUUAAGUCUGAUGUGAAAGCCCCCGGCUCAACCGGGGAGGGUCAUUGGAAACUGGGGAACUUGAGUGCAAAAGAGGAGAGUGGAAUUCCACGUGUAGCGGUGAAAUGCGUAAGAUGUGGAGGAACACCAGUGGCGAAGGCGACUCUCUGGUCUGUAACUGACGCUGAGGAGCGAAAGCGUGGGGGAGCGGAACAGGAUUAUAUACCCUGGGAGUCCACCCCGAAACCGAUGAGUGC
RNAcentral lists this ribosomal RNA (802 nucleotides) under Bacillus mojavensis. RNAcentral describes it as "bacterial SSU rRNA". It matches the Rfam family "Bacterial small subunit ribosomal RNA", at positions 32 to 816 of the family's 1533-position model. Lineage: Bacteria; Bacillati; Bacillota; Bacilli; Caryophanales; Bacillaceae. The record is from RNAcentral.